GACAGAGGUGCCGAGCGUUAGGCGGAAUCACUGGGCUUAAAGCGUGUGUAGGCGGACUUCUAAGUACCUUGUGAAAUCCCACGGCUCAACCGUGGAACUGCUUGGUAUACUGGUCGUCUUGAGCCACCUAGCGGCAACCGGAACAAACGGUGGAGCGGUGAAAUGCGUAGAUAUCGUUUGGAACGCCAAUGGUGAAAACAGGUUGCUGGGGGUGUGCUGACGCUGAGACACGAAAGCCAGGGGAGCAAACGGG
This 253-nucleotide ribosomal RNA is filed under the name uncultured bacterium. Its description in RNAcentral is "partial 16S ribosomal RNA". It matches the Rfam family "Bacterial small subunit ribosomal RNA", at positions 524 to 776 of the family's 1533-position model. The record is from RNAcentral.